RNAcentral lists this ribosomal RNA (310 nucleotides) under uncultured bacterium. Its description in RNAcentral is "bacterial SSU rRNA". It matches the Rfam family "Bacterial small subunit ribosomal RNA", at positions 355 to 666 of the family's 1533-position model. The record is from RNAcentral.
UGAGGAAUAUUGGUCAAUGGACGAAAGUCUGAACCAGCCAUGCCGCGUGAAGGAAUAAGGCCCUAUGGGUCGUAAACUUCUUUUGUAUGUGAGCAAUAAGGUCCACGUGUGGACCGAUGAGAGUAGCAUACGAAUAAGCAUCGGCUAACUCCGUGCCAGCAGCCGCGGUAAUACGGAGGAUGCAAGCGUUAUCCGGAUUCAUUGGGUUAAAGGUGCGUAGGCGGCUUGGUAAGUCAGCGGUGAAAUUCCAGUGCUCAACAUUGGCCGUGCCGUUGAUACUGCUGGGCUUGAAUGCGGAUGCCUGGGAGAA